Molecule: ribosomal RNA, 253 nt
Filed under: uncultured bacterium
Lineage: Bacteria
Description: partial 16S ribosomal RNA
Rfam family: Bacterial small subunit ribosomal RNA
Source: RNAcentral
UACAGAGGGGGCAAGCGUUGUUCGGAAUUACUGGGCGUAAAGGGCGCGUAGGCGGCCUUCUAAGUCGAACGUGAAAUCCCCGGGCUCAACCCGGGAACUGCGUCCGAUACUGGAAGGCUUGAAUCCGGGAGAGGGAUGUGGAAUUCCAGGUGUAGCGGUGAAAUGCGUAGAUAUCUGGAGGAACACCGGUGGCGAAGGCGACUACCUGGCCCACUCUUGACGCUGAGGCGCGAAAGCUAGGGGAGCAAACGGG